This 525-nucleotide ribosomal RNA is filed under the name uncultured Alphaproteobacteria bacterium. Its description in RNAcentral is "bacterial SSU rRNA". It matches the Rfam family "Bacterial small subunit ribosomal RNA", at positions 527 to 1044 of the family's 1533-position model. Lineage: Bacteria; Pseudomonadati; Pseudomonadota; Alphaproteobacteria. The record is from RNAcentral.
GAAGGGGGCGAGCGUUGUUCGGAAUUACUGGGCGUAAAGGGCGCGUAGGCGGCUCUUUAAGUUAGGCGUGAAAGCCCCGGGCUCAACCUGGGAACUGCGCUUAAGACUGGGGAGCUAGAAAACGGAAGAGGGUAGUGGAAUUCCCAGUGUAGAGGUGAAAUUCGUAGAUAUUGGGAAGAACACCAGUGGCGAAAGCGGCUACCUGGUCCGGAUUUGACGCUGAGGCGCGAAAGCGUGGGGAGCAAACAGGAUUAGAUACCCUGGUAGUCCACGCCGUAAACGAUGUCUGCUAGAUGUCGGGGGGUUGCCCCUCGGUGUCGCCGCUAACGCAUUAAGCAGACCGCCUGGGAAGUACGGUCGCAAGAUUAAAACUCCAAGGAAUUGACGGGGGCCCGCACAAGCGGUGGAACAUGUUGGUUUAAUUCCNAANCAACNCGCANAACCUUACCAGUCCUUUGACAUNGGGAAUUUGGUUUCCCANANAUGGAUUCCUUCNNUUCCGCUGGCUCCCACACAGGUUGCUNC